AACGAACGCUGGCGGCAGGCCUAACACAUGCAAGUCGAACGCUCGUAGCAAUACGAGAGUGGCAGACGGGUGAGUAACACGUGGGAACCUUCCCAACGGUCGGGAAUAGCUCAGGGAAACUUGAGGUAAUACCGGAUACGCCCUUCGGGGGAAAGAUUUAUCGCCGUUGGAUGGGCCCGCGUCGGAUUAGCUAGUUGGUGAGGUAACGGCUCACCAAGGCGACGAUCCGUAGCUGGUCUGAGAGGAUGAUCAGCCACACUGGGACUGAGACACGGCC
RNAcentral lists this ribosomal RNA (277 nucleotides) under uncultured bacterium. RNAcentral describes it as "partial 16S ribosomal RNA". It matches the Rfam family "Bacterial small subunit ribosomal RNA", at positions 29 to 331 of the family's 1533-position model. The record is from RNAcentral.